Molecule: ribosomal RNA, 520 nt
Filed under: uncultured bacterium
Lineage: Bacteria
Description: bacterial SSU rRNA
Rfam family: Bacterial small subunit ribosomal RNA
Source: RNAcentral
AAUAGAUACCCCGGUAGUCCACGCCGUAAACGUUGGGUACUAGGUGUGGCGUCCCGAUCAACGGAUGCCGUGCCGAAGCUAACGCAUUAAGUACCCCGCCUGGGGAGUACGGCCGCAAGGCUAAAACUCAAAGGAAUUGACGGGUCCCCGCACAAGCGGCGGAGCAUGCGGCUUAAUUCGAUGCAACCCGAAGAACCUUACCUGGGCUUGACAUCACGGGAAAAGCCGUAGAAAUACGGUGUCCAUUAGGGCCCGUGACAGGUGGUGCAUGGCUGUCGUCAGCUCGUGUCGUGAGAUGUUGGGUUAAGUCCCGCAACGAGCGCAACCCUUGUCCUAUGUUGCCAGCACGUAAUGGUGGGGACUCAUAGGAGACUGCCGGGGACAACUCGGAGGAAGGUGAGGACGACGUCAAGUCAUCAUGCCCCUUAUGUCCAGGGCUGCACGCAUGCUACAAUGGCCAGUACAAUGGGCUGCGAACUCGCGAGAGUGAGCCAAUCCCCAAAGCUGGCCUCAGUUCGGA